UCUAAUACCGGAUACGAGUUCCACGGGCAUCCGUGGGACUGGAAAGCUCCGGCGGUGCAGGAUGAGCCCGCGGCCUAUCAGCUUGUUGGUGAGGUAAUGGCUCACCAAGGCGACGACGGG
Molecule: ribosomal RNA, 120 nt
Filed under: Streptomyces fumanus
Lineage: Bacteria; Bacillati; Actinomycetota; Actinomycetes; Kitasatosporales; Streptomycetaceae
Description: partial 16S rRNA
Rfam family: Bacterial small subunit ribosomal RNA
Source: RNAcentral